Molecule: long non-coding RNA, 456 nt
Organism: Salvia miltiorrhiza (redroot sage)
Lineage: Eukaryota; Viridiplantae; Streptophyta; Magnoliopsida; Lamiales; Lamiaceae
Exons: 2
Source: RefSeq, a predicted model, not a curated record
UAAAUUUUGAAAACCCGGCUAAGUGAAUCAUAGAAUGUUAAGCACUACACCACGACUUAAGAUUAGAUUCAAGGAGACCUAUUGAGAAUAGAUUUCUUGUAGGCUUUGAGCGUCAGGAGGAUUAGCACUGCUAUUCCGAUUCAGAGAUAACGUUAAACGACAGGCAUUGCCUAUACAGGUUAAUGGCUGGUGAUGACGGGGCAGAGCUGAGGCUAGAGUUCAACUCCUUAUUUUGACUUCCGCUGCAGAACUAGCCAGUAUCUGUCUUUUGUUCCUUAACUUAAGACCUAUUAUGUUGUGACUCUAAACAAUAUCUUUUGUUGAGCCUAGACUAUUGACUCUCAAGUAUUUCGAUCAGUGAAUGUUGGUUAUCUGAAGCAUGACACUAAACUUGUGAUCCUGAAGUUAUUAUGUUUGUUGAUGGAUUCGUAUCACUUGAAUACCUGUCUUUCUUCA